RNAcentral lists this ribosomal RNA (2531 nucleotides) under Triticum aestivum (bread wheat). RNAcentral describes it as "partial small subunit ribosomal RNA". Lineage: Eukaryota; Viridiplantae; Streptophyta; Magnoliopsida; Poales; Poaceae. The record is from RNAcentral.
GCCCCGACGACCCAUAAGAUGAAGGAGCAGCCAGCGCCACCAAGCGACCGCUCUUCCCCGCAAUUUACUGCCCCGUGCCACUAGCGCCAGCCGAUCCUCACGCUGCCGGCUGCUGCUUUUCCCGUCUCAUGGCCGGCGACCAAGAGGAGGCGGAGCGGGAGUCCCAGGCGCCGGCGCCGGCUGCGGAGCGGGUCGCCGCCGCGGUGGAGACCGUGGCGGCGCCCGGGGAGUUCCGGAACGCGUACCGGCGGCAGCUGCUGGCGCUGUCCCGCCGGAUUCGCCUCCUCGGACCCUUCGCCGAGGAGCUCCGCGAGCGCCGCCGCCCCCCGGGGGAGGAGGAGGAGCGGGCGCUGGCGACGCUCGCCGACGCGCUGGAGAAGGCGCUCGAGCUGCUCAAGCUCGGCCGCGAGGGGAGCAGGAUCUCUUUGGUUUUUGAUAGGGAUAGAGUAAUGAAUAUAUUUCAGGAAGUAGUUGCUCAGUUGGAACAAGCUUUGCUCGACUUUCCAUACAAUGAACUGGAUAUAUCUGAUGAAGUUAGAGAACAGGUUGAGUUAGUGCAUGCACAGCUCAAAAGAGCAAAAGAACGGGUUGAUAUGCCUGAUGAUGAGUUCUACAACGACCUAAUAUCUCUGUAUAACAAGACCUAUGACCCAAGUGCAGAACUGGCUAUCCUUGAAAGGUUGUCAGAAAAGCUACACCUCAUGACUAUCACUGAUCUCACGCAAGAGUCACUUGCUCUGCAUGAGAUGGUGGCAUCUGGUGGUGGCCAGGAUCCAGGAGAGCACAUUGAGAAAUUGUCAAUGCUACUGAAGAAAAUCAAGGACUUUGUGCAAACUAACAACCCUGAGAUGGGCCCUCCUAUGGCUUCCAAAAUAAUGGAUACCAGUGGGGACCAGAAAUCUGUCAUCGUUCCUGAUGAAUUCCGUUGUCCAAUUUCUCUCGAGCUGAUGAAAGAUCCUGUGAUAGUUGCUACUGGCCAGACAUAUGAACGGUCGUGCAUCGAGAAAUGGCUAGCAUCUGGGCAUCACACUUGCCCAACUACGCAACAAAGGAUGGCGAACACAACAUUGACGGCAAACUAUGUCCUUAGAAGUCUCAUCUCCCAGUGGUGUGAAACCAACGGAAUUGAAGCGCCUAAGCGCUCAUCCCAGCCUAACAAGCCAAUGCCAGCAUGCUCUUCUAGUGAACGUGCUAACAUUGAUGCUCUAUUAUCCAAGUUAUGCUCUCCAGACCCUGAGGAGCAGAGGUCAGCUGCUGCAGAGCUUCGCCUCCUCGCAAAGCGGAACGCACACAACCGAUUAUGCAUUGCUGAGGCUGGUGCAAUUCCCUUACUAUUGAGUCUGUUAUCGUCAUCUGACUUGCGGACUCAGGAACAUGCUGUUACUGCACUUCUGAACCUCUCCAUACACGAGGACAACAAGGCAAGCAUCAUGUCCUCUGGUGCUGUGCCUAGUGUUGUUCAUGUGCUGAAGAAUGGCAGUAUGGAGGCCCGGGAAAAUGCUGCAGCCACACUUUUUAGCCUCUCUGUGGUCGAUGAAUACAAAGUAAUGAUUGGGGGAACAGGGGCUAUCCCUGCCCUUGUAGUGUUGCUAAGUGAGGGCAGCCAGCGGGGUAAGAAAGACGCAGCAGCAGCUCUCUUCAACUUGUGCAUUUACCAAGGUAACAAAGGCCGUGCGAUACGAGCUGGCCUUGUGCCACUCAUCAUGGGUCUAGUAACCAACCCCACAGGAGCUCUCAUGGACGAGGCUAUGGCGAUACUCUCAAUACUAUCCAGCCACCAAGAGGGGAAGGCAGCUAUCGGGGCAGCAGAGCCUGUUCCUGCGCUUGUCGAGUUGCUCGGAAGUGGGUCACCGAGAAACAGAGAGAAUGCUGCAGCUGUGAUGCUGCAUCUGUGCAGCGGCGAGCAACAGCUUGUGCAUUUAGCCCGUGCGCAUGAGUGCGGGAUCAUGGUUCCGUUGCGGGAGCUGGCAUUGAACGGCACAGAAAGGGGAAAGAGGAAGGCAGUGCAGUUGCUCGAGCGGAUGAGCAGAUUCGUGGUUCAACAACAAGAGGAACAGGAAUCUAAUUCUCGGCUGCAGGCCACCGUGGCACAAGUUUUCCCUCAGGCCCCCGAACAGGUCCAAGAAAGGGAAAUCCCCGAUCAAUUGGAGAGUCCGGCGUCUCAAUACCCCACGUUGUUAUGAAUACAGUGCCGAUAUUGUCCUACCUCUUGGACCUGUUCAUCCGUUCGAUACUAGCGCAGGUGGGAGUCAAUCAUGCCAACCGAGAGAUGUAAUCAUGUGACAAGCCUCUACUGCCAGGUGAGGUAUUUGAAAUUUAUAUUUGCCGCCUUCUUCCAGCUUGUAACUGAAACACUCGUCAGGUUGUCGUGGGCAUGUCAGCCCAGUCUUGAGGUAUGUACAGCUCUUCAAUCCACAGUUUCAGAUAUCAUGUAGCCGCAGAACACAAGGUUCUCCAAAUGUAGUAUAUCCUCAGUGUAAUAGUAAUGAUGAUUUAUGUAAAAGAGAAGAUUUUAUGGUGGGUUUAACUAG